This 254-nucleotide ribosomal RNA is filed under the name uncultured bacterium. Its description in RNAcentral is "partial 16S ribosomal RNA". It matches the Rfam family "Bacterial small subunit ribosomal RNA", at positions 524 to 777 of the family's 1533-position model. The record is from RNAcentral.
UACGGAGGGAGCUAGCGUUGUUCGGAAUUACUGGGCGUAAAGCGCACGUAGGCGGCUUUCUAAGUCGGAGGUGAAAUCCUGGAGCUCAACUCCAGAACUGCCUUCGAUACUGGAGAGCUCGAGUCCGGGAGAGGUGAGUGGAACUGCGAGUGUAGAGGUGAAAUUCGUAGAUAUUCGCAAGAACACCAGUGGCGAAGGCGGCUCACUGGCCCGGUACUGACGCUGAGGUGCGAAAGCGUGGGGAGCAAACAGGG